This is a small nucleolar RNA of Dipodomys ordii (Ord's kangaroo rat), 135 nucleotides long. Ensembl annotates it as predicted gene, 22748. Lineage: Eukaryota; Metazoa; Chordata; Mammalia; Rodentia; Heteromyidae. The record is from Ensembl.
GCAUGGGUUGGAUUGGUGGCAGGCCUGUCCCCAUGGGCCUCUCAUAGAGGGUCUCACGCCGGAGCAAACAGUGGCACCGAACCAUUGCCUGGCCUCUACCUGUGGGCUGCUGCCACUGAGAGGGGUUUCACAGAG